AUAGAACUGGUCCUGCUCCGAUCGGACACCGUUUGAAAAAGGCGAUAAUCGGACGGUCCAGAUCGCUUGGUGAGAUUUUCGAACUUUUUCGAUUUCUAAAAUUUAAAAAUAAUUUUAUGAUAAUUAUUAACAAAAUUUGGACUUAAUUUAGGUGCGAUUGGAUCGAGGAUAGCUCACCAGCGUCGGGACUGCAUUUUCAGCCAGAUCCGACUGCCCGACGGCCAAUCUCAGAACGUGGUCAAUAUUAUAGUCAAUCCUAGCAUUUUCAGACGUUCUGGACGCGUUCCAGGUGUCAGAAUUGGCAUAGGUGAUCGAGGUCAGCUAUUUUUCUGCAUCCAGCAGCCACAAUAGUCAUCGGUGUACUGCCACAGGAGGAGUUAUUUUACAGAGCAACCUGUUUUCUUCCUCGCAGGUUUAACGUCGAUUAUUUAAUUGUUUUACUAUCUUUUCAAAAUUAAAAAUCUAGAACUCCGCAUGUGUUAGAAUUAGUGUGGACCUUGGUAGAGGUUGUGUUAAUUUAAAUUUUUUUGAUUAAUAAAUGAAGAUUUGUAUGGUAUUUAAACAGUUUGUAAAUGAGGUAACAGGGUUGAGCUGGGCUCCCCUGAUUUUAGUUUCUGAAAAUUUCUGGGCUAAGUUGGCCCGAAAUGAAAUUAUAACAGUUUGAUUUAAA
Hevea brasiliensis (rubber tree) is the source of this 670-nucleotide long non-coding RNA. RefSeq lists it as uncharacterized. The record is from RefSeq and is a predicted model, not a curated record. Lineage: Eukaryota; Viridiplantae; Streptophyta; Magnoliopsida; Malpighiales; Euphorbiaceae. The transcript has 3 exons.